CGUGCCUUUAAACAUGCAAGUCGAGCGGUAAGGCCCUUCGGGGUACACGAGCGGCGAACGGGUGAGUAAAGGGGGCAACCUGCCCUGCACUCUGGGAUAACCUCGGGAAACGGGGCUAAUACCGGAUACGACCUUCCCCCGCAUGGGGGUGGGUGGAAAGUUCCGGCGGUGCAGGAUGGGCCCGCGGCCUAUCAGCUUGUUGGUGGGGUAAUGGCCUACCAAGGCGACGACGGGUAGCCGGCCUGAGAGGGCGACCGGCCACACUGGGACUGAGAUACGGCCCAGACUCCUACGGGAGGCAGCAGUGGGGAAUAUUGCGCAAUGGGCGAAAGCCUGACGCAGCGACGCCGCGUGAGGGAUGACGGCCUUCGGGUUGUAAACCUCUUUCAGCGCCGAAGAAGCGAAAGUGACGGUAGGCGCAGAAGAAGCACCGGCUAACUACGUGCCAGCAGCCGCGGUAAUACGUAGGGUGCGAGCGUUGUCCGGAAUUAUUGGGCGUAAAGAGCUCGUAGGCGGUUUGUCGCGUCGACUGUGAAAACCUACAGCUUAACUGUGGGCGUGCAGUCGAUACGGGCAGACUUGAGUUCGGUAGGGGAGACUGGAAUUCCUGGUGUAGCGGUGGAAUGCGCAGAUAUCAGGAGGAACACCGGUGGCGAAGGCGGGUCUCUGGGCCGAUACUGACGCUGAGGAGCGAAAGCGUGGGGAGCGAACAGGAUUAGAUACCCUGGUAGUCCACGCCGUAAACGGUGGGCGCUAGGUGUGGGGGAUUUCCACGUCCUCCGUGCCGUAGCUAACGCAUUAAGCGCCCCGCCUGGGGAGUACGGCCGCAGGCUAAACUCAAAGGAAUUGACGGGGGCCCGCACAAGCGGCGGAGCAUGUGGAUUAAUUCGAUGCAACGCGAAGAACCUUACCUGGGUUUGACAUGCACUGGAUCGCCUCAGAGAUGGGGUUUCCGUAAGGUCAGUUGUGCAGGUGGUGCAUGGCUGUCGUCAGCUCGUGUCGUGAGAUGUUGGGUUUAAGUCCGCAACGAGCGGCAACCUUUGUUCCAUGUUGCAGGCACGUUAUUGGUGGGGGACUCAUGGGAGACUGCGGUGUCACCUGGAAGUACGU
RNAcentral lists this ribosomal RNA (1110 nucleotides) under actinomycete CXB796. RNAcentral describes it as "bacterial SSU rRNA". It matches the Rfam family "Bacterial small subunit ribosomal RNA", at positions 43 to 1174 of the family's 1533-position model. The record is from RNAcentral. Lineage: Bacteria; Bacillati; Actinomycetota; Actinomycetes; Actinomycetales.